RNAcentral lists this ribosomal RNA (720 nucleotides) under uncultured bacterium. Its description in RNAcentral is "bacterial SSU rRNA". It matches the Rfam family "Bacterial small subunit ribosomal RNA", at positions 781 to 1500 of the family's 1533-position model. The record is from RNAcentral.
GAUACCCUGGUAGUCCACACUGUAAACGAUGGAUACUAGGUGUAGGGGGUAUUAAGCCUUCUGUGCCGUCGCAAACGCAGUAAGUAUCCCACCUGGGGAGUACGACCGCAAGGUUGAAACUCAAAGGAAUUGACGGGGGCCCGCACAAGCAGCGGAGCAUGUGGUUUAAUUCGAAGCAACGCGAAGAACCUUACCAGGUCUUGACAUCCAGUGCAAACCUAAGAGAUUAGGUGUUCCCUUCGGGGACGCUGAGACAGGUGGUGCAUGGCUGUCGUCAGCUCGUGUCGUGAGAUGUUGGGUUAAGUCCCGCAACGAGCGCAACCCUUGUCAUUAGUUGCCAUCAUUAAGUUGGGCACUCUAAUGAGACUGCCGGUGACAAACCGGGGGAAGGUGGGGGAUGACGUCAAGUCAUCAUGCCCCUUAUGACCUGGGCUACACACGUGCUACAAUGGACGGUACAACGAGAAGCGAACCUGCGAAGCAAGCGGAUCUCUUAAAGCCGUUCUUCAGUCGGACUGUAGGCUGCAACUCGCCUACACGAAGCUGGAAUCGCUAGUAAUCGCGGAUCAGCACGCCGCGGUGAAUACGUUCCCGGGCCUUGUACACACCGCCCGUCACACCAUGAGAGUCUGUAACACCCAAAGCCGGUGGGAUAACCUUUAUAGGAGUCAGCCGUCUAAGGUAGGACAGAUGAUUAGGGUGAAGUCGUAACAAGGUAAC